Long non-coding RNA from Cydia pomonella (codling moth), 893 nucleotides. RefSeq lists it as uncharacterized. NCBI's taxonomy places the organism in Eukaryota, Metazoa, Arthropoda, Insecta, Lepidoptera, Tortricidae. The transcript has 3 exons. The record is from RefSeq and is a predicted model, not a curated record.
AAACCCUUAUAUUUUUAUGUUAUUUUAACAAUUGUAAGUCAACAAAUAACAAUCGCAUUAAUUUCUUUGCAUACAUUCUUAAAUCAAAAAGAAAACAUAAAUUUUUAUUUCGCUUUUUUUAUUUUUUUAUGGUUACUCUGAAAAGCAUGUCAUGUCAUAGAUGUCGGAGUGAUUUAGCAUCUUUUUAGCAUUUAAAGUUUUUUACAGCAUUUGUUAUAUUAAAACAGUUCCAAGGAGUAAAAUGGUGAAAAAGUGUUGCGUUUAUACUUGUCCAAGUGAAUCGUAUGGUGGUUGCAACAUAUCGUUCCACAGGUAAGCUAAUAAUAAACUUUUUCGUAAAUCAAACAAUUUCCCAAAAAAUGAAGAAAUGCGACAUAAAUGGCUCAGCAGUAUACAUGUGAAGCAAAAAAUUACAAAAAAUUCCGUCGUAUGCAGUCGUCACUUCGAACCUUCCUGCUUUGAUACUGCUAAUUCCCGUCAAUUAUUAAAAGCAGACGCUUUUUCAACGAUUUUUCCUGUUGCCAAAGAUAAAAAAAAUUGUAGUUCUCAGUAAUAUAUUGCUACAACAGCCACAAUCAGUCACAUCUGAAGAGAAAACCCUACAUCCUUCCGCCUCUUUAGAAACACCUGUUAUUGCUGGGACAAGUUCAAGCAAUAUAGAAUAACCUCCAAGGAAGAAGCUCUGUCCAAACGUAAAUGAUGUCGGUGUUCAAACAGUACCUGUCAAAUGUAUUAGCCCUGUAGAAGAUGUUUUAAAGAAAAGGGUAAAAGUAUUAUCACAAAAGCUAAAUAGGCGUGACGCAAAAUUGAAAAACUUACAAUCGCUUUUAUUGCUACUCAAGAAAAAGUGUAAAAAUUUUGAUGAGGUGGAACAAAAUAUAAAAAAUAAUUUU